This 241-nucleotide long non-coding RNA is filed under the name Musa acuminata (dwarf banana). RNAcentral describes it as "long non-coding RNA (MACU_LNC010421)". The record is from RNAcentral. Lineage: Eukaryota; Viridiplantae; Streptophyta; Magnoliopsida; Zingiberales; Musaceae.
AUCACCUAGUAUCAGAGUAGUGUUCUUGGCAUCUCGCUGCCCUUCCACUGCCAUCCAUCAACCCUCCACAACCGCCCAAAGCAAUUCCCACAAUUGCUUAAAAGAUCAUCGCCAAAUUCCACCAUCAUCUCCACCACCGCAGAUCAUCCUUUGAUCUCCCCGUGAAUUGCAACAGGUUCUGGUUUCCUACCUUACUGCUGCUGCAAUUUAGUUAUCCCUAUUCGAAAAUCCAAAAAAAAAA